CUUAACUCUACAAAAGCAAACUCUAAUGCAUGCAAGAAUCAUUAGGUUGGCAGGUAUAUUCAUAAGUGAAAAACCUGGAAGUGUAAUGGUAGAACAUAAAACUUGUAUUGCUUCUGUUUCAGUGCAAACAUGUACUAGCCAAUACGCUUAAGUGUGUGGCCCACAAAAUCGAACAAUUGAACUUUGACGUCAUACCCAUGAUCUUAUGUGGAUUUUUUAACUGAGGAGAAACUAGUCCAGCCUAAAAUGUUUCUUUUAAUCUGUAUUCUGUUCUUUCUCUUCUGAUAGUGCCAUUACUAGUGCUCAUGUUAUCAUUUUUUCCCCUUUACUAAAAAUGAUAAACAUUUAUUUGAGAUAAUUAAAAUCCUUCUGGGGGCACUGGAAGCACAAUAUGGUGACUGAUCUUUCUUUCUUUCUUUCUUUUUUAAAAUUCGAACUAUGAUUUUGCUAGAAAUAGAAGGCCCAGUGGUGGAAUGUUAGAGGAAUAAAAACUGACAGUGUGUGAAGGUUUAGAGGCAAAUGC
RNAcentral lists this long non-coding RNA (523 nucleotides) under Marmota monax (woodchuck). Lineage: Eukaryota; Metazoa; Chordata; Mammalia; Rodentia; Sciuridae. The record is from RNAcentral.